This 1212-nucleotide long non-coding RNA is filed under the name Mus musculus (house mouse). RNAcentral describes it as "predicted gene 15298". The record is from RNAcentral. Lineage: Eukaryota; Metazoa; Chordata; Mammalia; Rodentia; Muridae.
GGGAGAUAUAAAAACAAGGGAGAUAUAAAAACGAGGGAGAUAUAAAAACAAGGGAGAUAUAAAAACAAGGGAGAUAUAAAAACAAGGGAGAUAUAAACAGGGGAGAUAUAUGGAGAAAGAAGAAACAGGACUGAAUAAAUGUGUGCAGAAGGAUCCUGUAGCAGCGUCGUUCUUGCUGGCGAGUUGGGGGCGCGCUCGAGAGUUGGUGCUGAGACCCGGGACGGGACGAGAAGACCUAGGACGAGAAGACCUGGGACGAGAAAACCUGGGACAAGAAACAUCUUCAGGCAUGAGCGAAGACCCCCUGCUACAGGGAGGAUUCAGAACUGCAUCACUGGGAAGGAGCCGUUAAUAAAGUGUUCCCGUAAAACAGACUGUUGAGAAGGAUCUGGCGUGGAUUCAGAACUCUUCAGCUGGGGAACGGUACUGAUGAAGAGAAAGAAGAGAGAUGAGGACUGAAUAAACUGCUGUUAGAAGGACUGGUGGUCGCAUCGUUCUUGCUGGUCGAGAGCGGGCGCGACAAUUGGUGGCCCGUACGGGGAACCGACUCCCCCACCGAGUUCAGAACUUUCAGCAGUCAGUGGUUGCAGGCAGGGUAAGUUCACGGACCAGACGGAACCUCUUUGGGUGCCGGAGAGAUUGGUGAGACGCUACAAGAAUGAGGCUCCUGAUCCAGUUGCCCCUGUGGAUGUGGUGGAUGAUCCCACAAGCACAAAGGAUGGAGCCGAGAUGAGAGAUCCUUUCGGUAUUCCAGAAGCCGAUACCAGCUCGACAUGAUAUUCAAAUUUUUCCACGCUUUUUGAUCCCUGAAUUUCCCUUAAAGAGAUAGCCCCUCUGGCUAUCUAUCCCUUGCUUCAGGGAAGAUGAGCGGGGAUGAGAGCCCUGGGAUGUAUGCUUGUUAUAGUGUGUGUGUGUUUUGUGUUUGGCACAUGUGUUAGGUGCAGAGUGUGCGGCCCGCACUUUCGCCAUGGUAGCGUAGGCUUUUGCUGCAGUGGAGGCGGGACAAUCUCCUCAGAUUCGGUUUGCCGCUCUAAAAGAAAUUAUGCUGCGUUAUGCCGUGGGGUGCGAGGCUAAGCACUGCACAGAGGAUAGCUUGCUGUUGGCAUCUUGUGGAAGGCACGUCUGAUUGCAUGAAGGUUCAGUGUCCUAGUUCCCUUCCCCCAGGAAAAACGACACAGGAGCUGGCCAAGACCUCUCUGGGUGAUGAGCCUA